Long non-coding RNA from Austrofundulus limnaeus, 1189 nucleotides. RefSeq lists it as uncharacterized. The record is from RefSeq and is a predicted model, not a curated record. The transcript has 3 exons. Lineage: Eukaryota; Metazoa; Chordata; Actinopteri; Cyprinodontiformes; Rivulidae.
CUUAAGCCUCACAAGGUGCUCAAGCUUGUGUCAACUCGCUGGCUAGGCCUUGGUAUCUGCUUGGAUCGCUUCAUCGACAAAUGGCAGGCGAUCAAACUUUUCUUGGAGAGUGAAGUCAACAAAAAAGACAAGUCAAAGGUGGUGAUGCCCAAGUCAACCUCUGAAAAGCCAACUGCUGCCAAGAGUCCCCACCCCCAGGCCGCCCGUGACAGUGACAGGAGAAAAAACUACAAAAGGACAGUUCGACCUGUCAAAGUACCUGUUCAAUCAAGAGGAACAGUGGAGAAAGAGAAAACUACAGGAAGAGGAGAAAAGUAAAGAGGACGCCAGCAGGAAGAAGAGAAAACUGGAGGAGGACUUCAUAAAGUUACUGCCAGCUAAGCUGAGAUCUCUCCACACUUUCUUCAAUGAUGAAGUGUACUGUCUUUUCCUGCAAGCUGUUAUUCCCACUUUUGAAUCUCCCAACCAGUUCCUCCAGGAUGAAAAGCCCUUGAUACAUGAACUCCACCAUGCACUGCUUGACCAGCUUAAAAAACUGAUGGUUAGGUUUGUGAAACCUUCUGUGAUUGUAGCUGCUGACAGCCUGAUGGAUGUAGAUUACACAAGUAAGGAAAAUCAGCUGUCUGACAGCAAUCUGGUUGUAGGCAGCAAGACCAGGAAUUACAUCAAAGAGCAUCCCUCUCUCUCUGGCCUUGAUGACUUUUACCUUCGGUUGAGAUCAUUCUUUGAGACCUCUGUGGCCUACAUGAUAAAGAACUUCAGACUGAAAGACAGUGUGCUUGUCAAUGCCACAGUUGUUACCAAGAGCGAGUCAGUGGAGUUUUCACAGUUACAAUUCUUCUUGGACCRCUAUCCAGUUCUGCUCCAGGUUGCUGGAGGUGACCUAGAUGUGGUCCAGGAACAAUUCCUACUGUACCAGGUUGAACAAGAUGUUAUCAGUAAGGACAGAGCAGAUGACACUUGGCACACCAUCAGUACCCUAAAGGAUGGCAACGGUUUGCUGAAGUUUUUAGCUCUGUCCUGUGUCAUGAUGGGCAUUUUGACUAUGUUUCAUUCUAAUGCGUCAUGUGAGAGGCUAUUCAGUCUGGUCACUAAAAACAAAAUAAAGUUCAGACCCACAAUGGGAGUCCAGACACUGCACAGCCUUACAAUGCAAAAGCAGAAGAUGCUUGUCAGUGGUAAGGCUUGC